ACCCCACUGCUAUCGGGAUAGGACUAAGACAUGCUAGUUGAGCGCUUCCAGCCAACACGGGAGCGCAGCGCACAGCUCAGUAACACGUGGCUAAUCUGCCCUUGGGACCGGAACACCCCCGGGAAACUGGGGCUAAUUCUCGAUAGGUGAAGAACUCUGGAAUGAGUCUUUGCUUAAAAGACGUUUGCGUUAUGCUCGUAGACGUCGCCCAAGGAUGAGGCCGCGACCGAUCAGGUUGUUGGCGAGGUAAUGGCUCACCAAGCCUUUUACCGGUGCGGGCCGUGAGAGCGGGAGCCCGGAGAUGGGCACUGAGACAAGGGCCCAGGCCCUACGGGGCGCAGCAGUCGCGAAAACUUUGCAAUACACGAAAGUGUGACAGGGCUAUCCCGAGUGCCAUCCGCUGAGGAAGGCUUUUACCCAGUCUAGAACGCUGGGGGAAUAAGGAGAGGGCAAGUCUGGUGUCAGCCGCCGCGGUAAUACCAGCUCUCCGAGUGGUGUGGAUGUUUAUUGGGCCUAAAGCAUCCGUAGCUGGCUAAGUUAGUCCCUUGUUAAAUCCACCGAAUUAAUCGUUGGAUUGCGGGGGAUACUGCUUGGCUAGGGGACGAGGGAGGCAGACGGUAUUUCCGGGGUAGGGGUGAAAUCCUAUAAUCCCGGGAAGACCACCAGUGGCGAAGGCUGUCUGCUAGAACGCGCCCGACGGUGAGGGAUGAAAGCUGGGGGAGCGAACCGGAUUAGAUACCCGGGUAGUCCCAGCUGUAAACGAUGCAGGCUAGGUGUUUGGACGGCCACGUGCCGUUCUAGUGCCGCAGGGAAGCUGUUAAGCCUGCCGCCUGGGGAGUACGAUCGCAAGAUUGAAACUUAAAGGAAU
Molecule: ribosomal RNA, 868 nt
Filed under: uncultured crenarchaeote
Lineage: Archaea; Thermoproteati; Thermoproteota
Description: bacterial SSU rRNA
Rfam family: Archaeal small subunit ribosomal RNA
Source: RNAcentral